RNAcentral lists this ribosomal RNA (213 nucleotides) under uncultured Desulfocapsa sp. RNAcentral's name for it is "partial 16S ribosomal RNA". It matches the Rfam family "Bacterial small subunit ribosomal RNA", at positions 1172 to 1374 of the family's 1533-position model. The record is from RNAcentral. Lineage: Bacteria; Pseudomonadati; Thermodesulfobacteriota; Desulfobulbia; Desulfobulbales; Desulfocapsaceae.
GGUGGGGAUGACGUCAAGUCCUCAUGGCCUUUAUGACCAGGGCUACACACGUACUACAAUGGCCGGUACAAAGGGCAGCGACACAGCGAUGUGAAGCCAAUCCCGAAAAGCCGGUCUCAGUCCGGAUUGGAGUCUGCAACUCGACUCCAUGAAGUUGGAAUCGCUAGUAAUCGCGGAUCAGCACGCCCGCGGUUCCGAAUACGUUCCGGCCUU